AUACGGAGGAUCCGAGCGUUAUCCGGAUUUAUUGGGUUUAAAGGGUGCGCAGGCGGGAGAUUAAGUCGGCGGUGAAAUUUUGCAGCUCAACUGUAAAAGUGCCUUCGAAACUGGUUUCCUUGAGUGUAGAUGAGGUAGGCGGAAUUUGUGGUGUAGCGGUGAAAUGCAUAGAUAUCACGAGGAACUCCGAUUGCGCAGGCAGCUUACUAAACUACUACUGACGCUCAGGCGCGAAGGCGUGGGGAUCAAACAGGAUUAGAUACCCUGGUAGUCCACGCAGUAAACGAUGAUUACUAGCUGUUUGCGAUACAAUGUAAGCGGCUGAGCGAAAGCGUUGAGUAAUCCACCUGGGGAGUACGUUCGCAAGAAUGAAACUCAAAUGAAUUGACGGGG
This 393-nucleotide ribosomal RNA is filed under the name uncultured bacterium. Its description in RNAcentral is "partial 16S ribosomal RNA". It matches the Rfam family "Bacterial small subunit ribosomal RNA", at positions 523 to 918 of the family's 1533-position model. The record is from RNAcentral.